RNAcentral lists this long non-coding RNA (1531 nucleotides) under Equus asinus (donkey). Its description in RNAcentral is "lncRNA (ENSEASG00005029519.1)". Lineage: Eukaryota; Metazoa; Chordata; Mammalia; Perissodactyla; Equidae. The record is from RNAcentral.
GUUGUUGCCAUUAGAGUUUGAGUGUUAUGCAGAGAGAGACGAUCAUUCAGGCAAUUCCGCCUCAGCGAGGACUGAAAACUCCACAUUAACCCCACACAACAAAUCUACCAGCUCCAGCUCUCAACCUGACUCAGGCAUUUUCUCCCGGGUGGUAAACGGAUGGAUCCGGCCAAAGGAGCCCUGCUGCCCUCACCACCACCCAGAAGGGAAGGGUGACCCCACUCCUUUGCUGGCAUUUUCCAUUGUGUGGGGGUGGGGUGGUGGGCAGGCCGGUCUCCACCUCCAUGCUGUCUGGCGCCCACUGCUCCUAUCAGUGAUUACUGCUGUCUCCCCUCUUCCCAGCUCUUCCUCCUCCAAGGUGCCCAAAGGCCCACCCUUUCCACUCUGGAAGGCUCUCUCCUGCUCACCGUCUGCAUAGCAGUCUCCCAAAGGCCAAAGGGCCCUCUAGGUUGAAGCGGCCCUGCAGUGGACUCUUAACGUGGUGUUGGCAGUGACAGUGAUGUCAGACUGCAUAGAGGCUGGCAUGAGAAGAGCUACGGGGUGGGGAAGGAUAGAGACCACCACAAUCAAAUAACUGGGAUCGCUCCCCGGUCUCGUAUCCUUCUUGCCACAAUGUGGAAGACAUCUCCCAGUCAAGGCAUCCCUUGGCAUUCCUCUUAACCUGUGUAAUUUCUAAGAGAUCUAUACAUACCACAAAAAAAAAAAAACCAGCACAGAUCCAGGAAGUAAAUUGAGUUUAAUGCAUGAUUGAUAUGGCCCGGGAGUGGUGCAUGCUGUCUUUACUGAGCAUGAUAAAGGUGCGUGACCGCUAUUUGUCAUUUCUGUGGUAGCUAUUCCUUUCUGUUUGAAGAACCCCUUCGAAAUCAUCUAUCCCCAUCUUGGGUUCUCAUGUUGUCUCAAGGCGCAGCAGAGUCAGGGACGAGUAGUCCUGGAGCAACCUGCCCCGAGUGACAGGCCUGACAAUCCGAGUGAUGGAUUGGGGCUGGGAAAGUGGUACUCGAAGCGAGGCAGUGACACCAGCGCGCCUCCACUGGCCGCCGAGAGCACGGAGAAGUGGUCUCCCCAGAGGCCGACGCACAAAGGACCAGCUUCACCUUCUGACGAUCGCGGACUGGGAACUUCAAUGUCAGGACUAUGACUAUGUAAAACCUCUGCCAAGUGCGAAUCUGGCAACGCACACUUUAUCCCAAAGGCGCGAGAGGGAGCUAGGGGAGGAGGACAUUGUUAUUUUUAAUUAAAAGUUUUUAUUCCGAAAUUUCCCUGGGAAAAGGUAGGGAACCCUCCCCCCAAUCCCGCGAGGAGGGGGCCGCGCAUCUCUGAGUUCGUAUAGACCUCAGCACUUAGAGAUCUUCUCCUCCUCUGGGAUACUGGCCUCUCCAGUGAUCCUGUGUCGCCCCAAAACAGCAACUAAGCGCGGUGCAGUGAAGGAAUUUUACGCCUCUAAACAGGAUACGGUAACAAACCUGAAACACACCCAAACACCAAACCUAUAAAUCAGCGCGCAGACACAGCGCGCCGGGCGCAUCGAGGG